This 451-nucleotide ribosomal RNA is filed under the name uncultured bacterium. RNAcentral's name for it is "partial 16S ribosomal RNA". It matches the Rfam family "Bacterial small subunit ribosomal RNA", at positions 329 to 793 of the family's 1533-position model. The record is from RNAcentral.
UGCCAGACUCCUACGGGAGGCAGCAGUGGGGAAUAUUGCACAAUGGGGGGAACCCUGAUGCAGCAAUGCCGCGUGAAGGAUGAAGGUUUUCGGAUUGUAAACUUCUUUUGUACGGGGCGAAGAAAGUGACGGUACCGUAAGAAUAAGCCACGGCUAACUACGUGCCAGCAGCCGCGGUAAUACGUAGGGGGCAAGCGUUAUCCGGAUUUACUGGGUGUAAAGGGGGCGCAGACGGCGAUGCAAGCCAGGAGUGAAAGCCCGGGGCCCAACCCCGGGACUGCUCUUGGAACUGCGUGGCUGGAGUGCAGGAGGGGCAGGCGGAAUUCCUGGUGUAGCGGUGAAAUGCGUAGAUAUCAGGAGGAACACCGGUGGCGAAGGCGGCCUGCUGGACUGCAACUGACGUUGAGGCCCGAAAGCGUGGGGAGCAAACAGGAUUAGAUACCCCGGUAAG